This 497-nucleotide ribosomal RNA is filed under the name uncultured bacterium. RNAcentral describes it as "partial 16S ribosomal RNA". It matches the Rfam family "Bacterial small subunit ribosomal RNA", at positions 28 to 507 of the family's 1533-position model. The record is from RNAcentral.
GACGAACGCUGGCGGCGUGCCUAAUACAUGCAAGUAGAACGCUGAAGAGAGGAGCUUACUCUUCUUGGAUGAGUUGCGAACGGGUGAGUAACGCGUAGGUAACCUGCCUUGUAGCGGGGGAUAACUAUUGGAAACGAUAGCUAAUACCGCAUAACAAUGGAUGACACAUGUCAUUUAUUUGAAAGGGGCAAUUGCUCCACUACAAGAUGGACCUGCGUUGUAUUAGCUAGUAGGUGAGGUAAUGGCUCACCUAGGCGACGAUACAUAGCCGACCUGAGAGGGUGAUCGGCCACACUGGGACUGAGACACGGCCCAGACUCCUACGGGAGGCAGCAGUAGGGAAUCUUCGGCAAUGGGGGCAACCCUGACCGAGCAACGCCGCGUGAGAGAAGAAGGUUUUCGGAUCGUAAAGCUCUGUUGUAAGUCAAGAACGGGUGUGAGAGUGGAAAGUUCACACUGUGACGGUAGCUUACCAGAAAGGGACGGCUAACUACGUG